RNAcentral lists this ribosomal RNA (319 nucleotides) under uncultured bacterium. RNAcentral's name for it is "bacterial SSU rRNA". It matches the Rfam family "Bacterial small subunit ribosomal RNA", at positions 28 to 356 of the family's 1533-position model. The record is from RNAcentral.
GACGAACGCUUGCGACGUGCCUAAGAAAUGCAAGUCGAACGGGGGAGCAAUCCCUAGUGGCGAACGGUCGCGUAACACGUGGGCAACCUGCCCUGAAGCGGGGGACAACAAGUCGAAAGAUUUGCUAAUACCGCAUGUGUCUCGCUGUGGCAUCACAGAGGAGACAAAGCCGCAAGGCACUUCAGGAUGGGCCCGCGGCCUAUCAGCUUGUUGGUGAGGUAACGGCCCACCAAGGCUUCGACGGGUAGCUGGUCUGAGAGGACGAUCAGCCGGAUUGGGACUGAGAUACGGCCCAGACUCCUACGGGGGGCGAGCAAUU